Molecule: ribosomal RNA, 468 nt
Filed under: uncultured bacterium
Lineage: Bacteria
Description: partial 16S ribosomal RNA
Rfam family: Bacterial small subunit ribosomal RNA
Source: RNAcentral
GACGAACGCUGGCGGCGGGCUUAACACAUGCAAGUCGAACGGAAAGGCCCUGCUUUUGUGGGGUGCUCGAGUGGCGAACGGGUGAGUAACACGUGAGUAACCUGCCCUUGACUUUGGGAUAACUUCAGGAAACUGGGGCUAAUACCGGAUAGGAGCUCCUGCUGCAUGGUGGGGGUUGGAAAGUUUCGGCGGUUGGGGAUGGACUCGCGGCUUAUCAGCUUGUUGGCGGGGUAGUGGCUUACCAAGGCUUUGGCGGGUAGCCGGCCUGAGAGGGUGACCGGCCACAUUGGGACUGAGAUACGGCCCAGACUCCUACGGGAGGCAGCAGUGGGGAAUAUUGCACAAUGGGCGGAAGCCUGAUGCAGCAACGCCGCGUGCGGGAUGACGGCCUUCGGGUUGUAAACCGCUUUCGCCUGUGACGAAGCGUGAGUGACGGUAAUGGGUAAAGAAGCACCGGCUAACUACGUG